AUUUCCGUGGAGAGGAACAAAUCUGAG
This 27-nucleotide non-coding RNA is filed under the name Cricetulus griseus (Chinese hamster). Lineage: Eukaryota; Metazoa; Chordata; Mammalia; Rodentia; Cricetidae. The record is from RNAcentral.